GCCACCGUAGCUCAAUUUGGUAGAGCAGCGCUUUUGUAAAGCGCAGGUUAGGAGUUCGAUUCUCCUCGGUGGCU
RNAcentral lists this transfer RNA (74 nucleotides) under Candidatus Pacearchaeota archaeon. RNAcentral describes it as "tRNA-Thr". It matches the Rfam family "tRNA". From Rfam's summary of the family: Transfer RNA (tRNA) molecules are approximately 80 nucleotides in length. The record is from RNAcentral. Lineage: Archaea; Nanobdellati.